CAACAAUGGGCCUCUGGAGUUUGUCCCUCUCACCUUAAUCACUGCGGAAUUUGAUCUCAGGGCCUUUCAUUCCAUUACUACCCCCCAUCUGGCCGCUGCCUGCAGGAGCCAGGCCGGCCCUGCGUCUCCCAUGGGACUAGAGGCCUGGGGAAAGAGUGAGGUGUUUUCCAUCACACCCUCCAUCUGAGCCAUCUUCGUUCACCACAGUCUCCUCCCUGCCUCCCUCUUUUCCCGCUUGCUGGUCAGUCUAAGUGAGACCCACCCAGACAAUGGUCAGUACCUGGGACUUCCAUCCUCCAUCGGCUUCAGUUUCUCUCUCUAUAAAAUGGGCUUGUUCCUCAGACUCACCCAUUUCCAGAGUGAUGACAACUCCAUCACAUCUAAGUCCCAGCUGUGUCUGCCGUUCCUCCCAGAGACUCUGGUGCCAGUCCUCCAGCCCCACACCCACCCUUGUGUGGAACGUGUGAAAAGUGGAAGGGGCUGCUGUUUUAUUCACUGUGUCUGACUACCUGGAAGUGUCUCAUGAGAAACUCAUUUCUUUGGCUUGAAUGCAAAGGCCCCUGGGAGUGGUCACACAUAAAGCUAUGGCCGGGGGUCGUGUCUUGAAAAAUAGGAAGGGUUUUAUUAGUGAAAAUGAGAAGGCAUGUACAUUUCGUGUACUGGAGAAGGCAGUGGCACCCCACUCCAGUACUCUUGCCUGGAGAAUCCCAUGGACGGAGGAGCCUGGUAGGCUGCAGUCCACGGGGUCGCUAAGAGUCGGACACGACUGAAGGACUUCACUUUCACUUUUCACUUUCAUUGGAGAAGGAAAUGGCAAGCCACUCCAGUGUUCUUGCCUGGAGAAUCCCAGGGAUGGGGGAGCCUGGUGGGCUGCUGUCUAUGGGGUCACACAGAGUCGGACAUGACUGAUGCGACUUAGCAGCAGCAGUACAUUUCAGUGGGAGCUCAGAUCUGCAGUAAGAAAGGGAGGCAUGGUGUUGGAGGGAUCUUUAGAAAGUACAGAUUGUCUAGGGGAGGUUGGCAAACUUUUUUUGCAAAAGGCCAAAUUGUAAAUAGUCCACAGAUAAGAAAAGUGUGUCUGGAAGGGUCUUUGGGGACCACAUGGUCUCUGUUGUGGAUGUACUCACACGUGAUAAAUUGCUUCAGUUCUGUCCAUGUGACUCUAUGGACUGUAGCCUGCCAGGCUCCUCUGUCCAUGGGAUUCUCCAGGCAAGAAUAUUGGAGUGGGUUGCUGUGCCCUACUCCAGGGGAUUUUCCUGAUCCAGGGAUUGAACCCAUGUCUCAUGUCUCCUACAUUGGCAGCCGAGUUCUUUACCACUAGCGCCACCUGGGAACCUUAUGGUCUCUGUCACAACUAUUCAGUUCUGUUGUAGUGCAAAAGCAGUCAUAGGCAGAAUUAUAUGUUGAGUUAUAUCCCCCCAGAUCUAUAUAUUGAAGUCCUAACGCCCAGUAUCUCAGAAUAUGAAUACAUUUGGAGAUGGGGGUCUUUAAACUGGUGAUUAAGUUAAAAUGAGGUCCCUAGGUGGACCUUGAUCCAGUAUGACUGGUGUCCUUAUAAGAAGAGAUUAGGACAUAGACAUGUUCAGAGGGGAGGCGACGUGAGGACACAGGGAGAAGACAACCAUCUGCAAGCCAAGAAGAGAGGCCUCCAGAGAAACCAUCCUUACCGACACCUUGGUCUUGGCCCUCCAGCCUCCAGAACUCUGAGAAAAUAAACGUUUUCUGUUAAGCCCCCUGAUUGCUGGUACUUGGUUAUGGCAGCCCUAGCAAAGGAGGCAGUGUGUACCUGUUUGAGUGUGACCAUGUGCCAAUAAACUUUAUUUAUGAACACUGAAA
Molecule: long non-coding RNA, 1836 nt
Organism: Bos taurus (domestic cattle)
Lineage: Eukaryota; Metazoa; Chordata; Mammalia; Artiodactyla; Bovidae
Source: Ensembl